UGGGGAAUAUUGCACAAUGGGGGAAACCCUGAUGCAGCGACGCCGCGUGGAGGAAGAAGGUCUUCGGAUUGUAAACUCCUGUUGUUGGGGAAGAUAAUGACGGUACCCAACAAGGAAGUGACGGCUAACUACGUGCCAGCAGCCGCGGUAAAACGUAGGUCACAAGCGUUGUCCGGAAUUACUGGGUGUAAAGGGAGCGCAGGCGGGAAGACAAGUUGGAAGUGAAAUCUAUGGGCUCAACCCAUAAACUGCUUUCAAAACUGUUUUUCUUGAGUAGUGCAGAGGUAGGCGGAAUUCCCGGUGUAGCGGUGGAAUGCGUAGAUAUCGGGAGGAACACCAGUGGCGAAGGCGGCCUACUGGGCACCAACUGACGCUGAGGCUCGAAAGUGUGGGUAGCAAACAGGAUUAGAUACCCUGGUAGUCCACACCGUAAACGAUGAUUACUAGGUGUUGGGGGAUUGACCCCCUCAGUGCCGCAGUUAACACAAUAAGUAAUCCACCUGGGGAGUACGACCGCAAGGUUGAAACUCAAAGGAAUUGACGGGGGCCCGCACAAGCAGUGGAGUAUGUGGUUUAAUUCGAAGCAACGCGAAGAACCUUACCAGGUCUUGACAUCCGAUGCAUAGCACAGAGAUGUGUGAAAUCCUUCGGGACAUCGAGACAGGUGGUGCAUGGUUGUCGUCAGCUCGUGUCGUGAGAUGUUGGGUUAAGUCCCGCAACGAGCGCAACCCUUAUUGCCAGUUACUACGUUAAGAGGACUCUGGCGAGACUGCCGUUGACAAAACGGAGGAAGGUGGGGAUGACGUCAAAUCAUCAUGCCCUUUAUGACCUGGGCUACACACGUACUACAAUGGCGUUAAACAAAGAGAAGCAAGACCGCGAGGUGGAGCAAAACUCAAAAACAACGUCUCAGUUCAGAUUGCAGGCUGCAACUCGCCUGCAUGAAGUCGGAAUUGCUAGUAAUCGCGGAUCAGCAUGCCGCGGUGAAUACGUUCCC
This 997-nucleotide ribosomal RNA is filed under the name uncultured organism. Its description in RNAcentral is "bacterial SSU rRNA". It matches the Rfam family "Bacterial small subunit ribosomal RNA", at positions 355 to 1375 of the family's 1533-position model. The record is from RNAcentral.